Molecule: ribosomal RNA, 372 nt
Filed under: Triticum aestivum (bread wheat)
Lineage: Eukaryota; Viridiplantae; Streptophyta; Magnoliopsida; Poales; Poaceae
Description: partial small subunit ribosomal RNA
Source: RNAcentral
AUGUUGCCUGCGCUCGUUGAGGCCGCCAUGGCCGAAGCAUCGCGUCCGCGCACGCACCCGCAUGCCCCUGCCGCCUAUGUACGCCUGUGCCCGCUGUCGCAUGUCUGCUGCAGCCCGCGCCCUCGUUCGCCCCUGGCUGUGUCCGUCCGCACGUGCGUGCAUCGGCCGCACCCUGGCCGAGCGCCAGCGCCGCUCGCGGCUCCCGCGCUCGCCCUGCUACUUCUUGCUGCUGCUGCACUGCCGUUGCUGCUCAGCUACUGCCGCUACUACUUGCUAUCGUGCUGCCCUGCUCCCACUAACUGCUGCUGGAUUGCACUGCUGCUGCUAGGUACUUCUACAGCCGGUUGCUGCUGCUACAGGCCAUGGCCAUAG